UAACACGUGGGUAACCUGCCUGUAAGACUGGGAUAACUCCGGGAAACCGGAGCUAAUACCGGAUAGUUCCUUGAACCGCAUGGUUCAAGGAUGAAAGACGGUUUCGGCUGUCACUUACAGAUGGACCCGCGGCGCAUUAGCUAGUUGGUGAGGUAACGGCUCACCAAGGCGACGAUGCGUAGCCGACCUGAGAGGGUGAUCGGCCACACUGGGACUGAGACACGGCCCAGACUCCUACGGGAGGCAGCAGUAGGGAAUCUUCCGCAAUGGACGAAAGUCUGACGGAGCAACGCCGCGUGAGUGAUGAAGGUUUUCGGAUCGUAAAGCUCUGUUGUUAGGGAAGAACAAGUGCAAGAGUAACUGCUUGCACCUUGACGGUACCUAACCAGAAAGCCACGGCUAACUACGUGCCAGCACCCGCGGUAAUACGUANGUGGCAAGCGUUGUCCGAAAUUAUUGGGCGUAAAGGGCUCGCAGGCGGUUUCUUAAUUCUGAUGAGAAACCCCCCGGCUCACCGGGGAAGGGUCAUUGAAAACUGGGAAACUUGAUUGCAAAAAAGGAGAGUGGAAUUCCACGUGUAGCGGNNAAAUGCGUAAAGAUGUGGAGGAACACCAGUGGCCAAAGGCGACUCUCUGGCCUGUAACUGACCCUCAGGAGCGAAAUCAUGGGGAGCAAACACGAUUACAUACCCUGGGAUUCCACGNCCUUAAACCAUAAAUGCUAANUGGUAGGGGGUUCCCCCCCUCANUGNUGCACUAAGGCGUUAAAGGNCUCCGGCGCCGGAGUACGGUUGCAGGAGUGGUAAUCCCANNAAAGUUUNNNNGAGGGCCCGCCGAAACNNUUUUUANAUNNNAUUUUAUUNNAAAACAACCNCCCAAAA
This 880-nucleotide ribosomal RNA is filed under the name Bacillus stratosphericus. RNAcentral describes it as "partial 16S ribosomal RNA". The stretch from base 1 to 778 matches the Rfam family "Bacterial small subunit ribosomal RNA", at positions 111 to 873 of the family's 1533-position model. Lineage: Bacteria; Bacillati; Bacillota; Bacilli; Caryophanales; Bacillaceae. The record is from RNAcentral.